UUGCUACUUACAUCAUUGAUGUAAGAUCAACUAUGUUGAAUAAAGUUCUGGGUAGAAUUAGAUAAUGACAUUUUCUGCCCAUGUGUCUUGACCAAUUACGUGCCAGCUGUCGCGGUAAUACGUAUAAGGCUAGCGUUAUUCAUGUUUAAUCGGUUUAAAGGGUACCUAGACGGCAAAUCAAGCUUAUGAAGAAAGGACUAAUUUGCUUGAGUUACAUCUGAGGGGGCUAUAAAGUACUGCUGGUGUAGGGAUGAAAUUCUAUGAUACCUUAUUUCGAAAGAAAAGUUAUGGCACAGGUAUAGGCGAAGGCAUCCCCUUAUAUGAUAACUGACGUUGAGGGACGAAGGCUCUGGACCACGAACAGGAUUAGAGACCCUGGUAGUUGGAGCAGUAAACGAUGAAUGUCAUAGAUUAGAUAUAUAAGUUUAUUCUAUAAAUGAAAGUGUAAGCAUUCCACCUCAAGAGUAAUAUGGCAACAUUGGAACUGAAAUCAUUAGACCGUUUCUGAAAUUAGUAGUGAAGUAUGUUGUUUAAUUUGAUAGUCCGCAAAAAACCUUACCACAAUUUGAAUAUUUAGAUUGUUUAUUGUUAUCUCAUUAGUUUCCUUUUAUUUAUAAUAAUGGAGUAGACAAGCAAAAACACUGAUUAAUUAUACAAAUUUAUAAACUCCUUAUUGAUGAAUAAAGAAUAAAAUUAAUGUUGAGGCAAUAACAUAUACUUACAAGCGUUGCACGGCUGUCGUCAGUUGAUGUCGCGAGACUGUGGUUUACUCCACCAAUUAACGUAAACCCUUGCUUUAUUUUUAGAUAAAGUAGAUAAUCACCGAUAUGGGGA
This 834-nucleotide ribosomal RNA is filed under the name Remototrachyna pandani. Its description in RNAcentral is "SSU rRNA". It matches the Rfam family "Bacterial small subunit ribosomal RNA", at positions 401 to 1166 of the family's 1533-position model. The record is from RNAcentral. Lineage: Eukaryota; Fungi; Ascomycota; Lecanoromycetes; Lecanorales; Parmeliaceae.